This is a long non-coding RNA of Bufo bufo (common toad), 929 nucleotides long. RefSeq lists it as uncharacterized. The transcript is spliced from 5 exons. Lineage: Eukaryota; Metazoa; Chordata; Amphibia; Anura; Bufonidae. The record is from RefSeq and is a predicted model, not a curated record.
CAUCUAUUCCAAAUGAAUCUCGUGGUCAUACUGUAUCCAUAUCGUCCAUGCAAGUUCAACAAGUAUUUGAGAAUGUGGAAAUUCUAAUUUCCAAAUUCACGGAUGCUUCAACUCAGACAGAGUUAAAUUUGACAAAUUCAAUAAUUAUUAGUACAGAUAAAAAUCUUACACUUAGGGAAGAAGAAUCACCUUUACGUGAACAUACAAAUAUUGUUCAUGAAUCCACCCCAUUGCCUGAUUGUUCUCAAUUCCAAAAUCGGCACCAAAUUAAUCCAUUUAUAAGACUUCUUUCUCCUAUUGUAUUUGAAAAUGAAAAGAUCUCCCAGCCACCGGAAGAAGACGGUAAUAAUGAUGAUCUGGUUAGUGGGAUAUUUCCGUUGACAGGUGACUUCGAGGAUUCAUACAAUAUUAGCAGUCUGGCUGACGCAGGGGAAAUUCGUGAUUCAAGAGACCACACAUAUGACCCUUUGAUGAUAUGCAAUAUAAAAACAUCGUAAAAGACACGAAAUUGAUUGUGAACGAAAGUUGUCUCGAUGUACUGCUACGUCAGACAUUAUACCUGUGUGUAGGAGAAGUGCUGUCAAGCCAUGGAGUCAAGGGGAUCCGAUUAGACUCCAAGGAUGACAGUAAACUGUACCAGCGUGUCGGACAUGCCCGGGAAGGAACAACAAGUUUCCUGCCAGCCGUGGAGUCAAGGGGAUCCGAUUAGACUCCAAGGCUGACAGCCGAGGAACCACAUUGACGGACUUGCCCUCGAUCUACCAUAUCAUCCUUUUAAUUUGAAAUUUAUUUUAAUAAAAUUAUGCCAAUAUAUGUUUUUUAUGAGAAAUUGAUAUUUUUUAAAAAUUAAAUAAAAAAUAACAUAUUAUAUACAUUUUAUGGAUAUCCUUUGCAUAACUGUAAUGAAAUGUCAGAAAGCAAAACAUUUU